RNAcentral lists this non-coding RNA (78 nucleotides) under bovine gut metagenome. Its description in RNAcentral is "TPP riboswitch (THI element)". It matches the Rfam family "TPP riboswitch aptamer (THI element)", at positions 8 to 91 of the family's 105-position model. Rfam says of the family: Vitamin B(1) in its active form thiamin pyrophosphate (TPP) is an essential coenzyme that is synthesised by coupling of pyrimidine and thiazole moieties in bacteria. The record is from RNAcentral.
AACAGGGGCGCCGAAAGGCUGAGACGGUAAAAACCGGACCCUCAAACCUGAUACGGGUAAUGCCGGCGUAGGGAGUUA